RNAcentral lists this ribosomal RNA (253 nucleotides) under uncultured bacterium. Its description in RNAcentral is "partial 16S ribosomal RNA". It matches the Rfam family "Bacterial small subunit ribosomal RNA", at positions 524 to 776 of the family's 1533-position model. The record is from RNAcentral.
UACGUAGGGUGCAAGCGUUAAUCGGAAUUACUGGGCGUAAAGCGUGCGCAGGCGGUUUUGUAAGUUUGUCGUGAAAUCCCCGGGCUCAACCUGGGAAUUGCGAUGAAGACUGCAAGGCUAGAAUCUGGCAGAGGGGGGUAGAAUUCCACGUGUAGCAGUGAAAUGCGUAGAGAUGUGGAGGAACACCGAUGGCGAAGGCAGCCCCCUGGGUCAAGACUGACGCUCAUGCACGAAAGCGUGGGGAGCAAACAGG